RNAcentral lists this ribosomal RNA (502 nucleotides) under uncultured bacterium. Its description in RNAcentral is "partial 16S ribosomal RNA". It matches the Rfam family "Bacterial small subunit ribosomal RNA", at positions 28 to 507 of the family's 1533-position model. The record is from RNAcentral.
GACGAACGCUGGCGGCGUGCCUAAUACAUGCAAGUCGAACGAACCGCGACUAAGUGCUUGCACUAAGUCAAGGUGAGUGGCGAACGGGUGAGUAACACGUGGGUAACCUACCUCAUAGUGGGGGAUAACAGUCGGAAACGACUGCUAAUACCGCAUAGGACAUAGGAUCACAUGAUCCAGUGAGGAAAGGUGGCGCAAGCUAUCGCUAAGAGAUGGACCCGCGGUGCAUUAGCUAGUUGGUAGUGUAAAGGCCUACCAAGGCGAUGAUGCAUAGCCGACCUGAGAGGGUGAUCGGCCACAUUGGGACUGAGACACGGCCCAAACUCCUACGGGAGGCAGCAGUAGGGAAUCUUCCGCAAUGGACGCAAGUCUGACGGAGCAACGCCGCGUGAGUGAAGAAGGUCUUCGGAUCGUAAAGCUCUGUUGUUAGAGAAGAACAGCGCAUAGAGUAACUGCUAUGCGUGUGACGGUAUCUAACCAGAAAGCCACGGCUAACUACGUG